This is an RNA transcript of Populus nigra (black poplar), 1848 nucleotides long. It is a transcript of the gene named serine/threonine-protein kinase STY13-like, with no coding region annotated. The record is from RefSeq and is a predicted model, not a curated record. The transcript has 7 exons. NCBI's taxonomy places the organism in Eukaryota, Viridiplantae, Streptophyta, Magnoliopsida, Malpighiales, Salicaceae.
UGGGGGAGACCAGUACUAAUGCUAAUAAAUCAAUAAAAUGAGUGGAGAAGCGAAGAGAAAGAAGGCAAGGCAAUAAUACUGGGUCAGAUUGAGAAUUCGAAGAAACAACAACAGCACCACGUUAUGUAGAGUAGAGGAGGCAAUGGCAUGUGCCCACAUGGCUUAUUGUAGCUGGACACAAGAACAAUAAAUACUCCCUACGUUCUUAUCUGUUUUUAACCUAAAGUACAAGACUGCCACUCGGUUUUUCUUAGAGAGAGAAAGCGAAAGGAAAGAAAGCAGAAGUCUUUCUUUUUUGGGCAAAAAAAUGAAGGAAAGCAGUGAUGGGUUUGUGAGAGCAGAUCAGAUUGAUCUCAAAAGUCUAGAUGAACAAUUGGAGAGGCAUCUCAAUAGAGUAUUGACUCUUGAAAACAAGAACAAGAGAGAUGAUGAUGAUGGUGAUGUUGUUGUUACUGCUAAUCCCACACCUACGCCUUCCACCACUAGAACCGCCCCUUUCAAGAAGCAGAGGCAGGAAUGGGAGAUCGACCCUUCUAAGCUCUCCAUCAAGACUGUAAUCGCUCGUGGUACUUUUGGCACUGUCCACCGUGGCGUCUACGAUGGCCAGGAUGUCGCCGUUAAACUGCUUGACUGGGGUGAAGAGGGUCAAAGGACAGAAGCUGAGAUUGCGGCACUAAGGGCAGCUUUUACUCAAGAAGUUGCUGUUUGGCAUAAGCUUGAUCAUCCAAAUGUUACUAAGUUUAUAGGGGCAACAAUGGGCUCAGCAGAGCUACAAAUACAAACUGCGAAUGGUCAAAUUGGGAUGCCAAAUAAUAUAUGUUGUGUUGUUGUGGAGUAUCUUCCUGGGGGUGCCUUGAAAUCAUACCUUAUAAAAAACAGGAGAAGAAAGCUAGCUUUUAAAGUUGUCGUUGAGCUGGCACUUGAUCUUGCAAGAGGGUUAAAUUACCUUCAUUCUCAGAAAAUCGUUCACAGAGAUGUAAAGACUGAAAACAUGCUAUUGGAUAAGACACGGACUGUAAAAAUUGCUGACUUUGGUGUUGCUCGUAUUGAGGCGUCAAAUCCUAAUGAUAUGACUGGGGAGACAGGAACACUCGGAUACAUGGCUCCUGAGGUUCUCAAUGGCAAUCCAUAUAACAGGAAAUGUGAUGUGUACAGUUUCGGCAUCUGUUUAUGGGAGAUAUAUUGCUGUGACAUGCCUUAUCCUGAUCUUAGUUUUGCAGAAGUAACUUCAGCUGUGGUCCGCCAGAAUCUAAGACCAGAGAUUCCAAGGUGUUGCCCAAACUCUCUAGCAAAUGUAAUGAAGCGUUGCUGGGAUGCUAACCCUGACAAGCGCCCUGAGAUGGAUGAGGUUGUCUCCAUGUUGGAGGCCAUUGACGUAACAAAAGGCGGAGGCAUGAUCCCUCCUGAUCAACAAGGGGGUUGUUUUUGCUUCCGCAGGAAUCGAGGCCCUUGAAGGAUAUGAACAAUUGUGAUAGUUUGUUUCAAGGUUUUUGACGGUCCAACAUAAACCUUGAAGACAAAGGAGAUAUAUGAUACAUGUUGGAUAUAGGGUGAGGGGCUGUCACAUCCAACUUUGUCGAGGGUAAAAAUAGAAGGGCGUGUUAAUAGGGAAAGGACAUGGUGUGUGUAUGCACACUUCCAGUUGGUGGUGUUGGUGCAUCAAGACAGAUAAUUGACCUAUCGAAAUCUUUUAAUUAGUUUUGGUUGAAAUUAUGAUUGCUUAGUAUGCUAGGAGACUCUGGUUACAGGUCAAGAUGCUAAACCACCUCCUGUCUACCAACUUAUCUCUUUUUGUGUUGUUUCCAUGGCCACAGAACUAAUAGCUCAAGUAGUGCUUUUGAUAAGAAA